The sequence is a regulatory RNA element, 473 nucleotides long. It matches the Rfam family "cspA thermoregulator". The record is from Rfam.
GUCGGUUUGUAAAGCAGAGCCGAAUAUGCGAGCAGUUUUAGUAAAGCAGUCUUCAGUUCAAGCGUUAUCUUAGAUAUCUCUUCUUCCUGACUCCUUCCUGAGUGCCUCAUAAAUUCUGUGGACAAACCAUUUCGCCCUAUGUGGCUUGUAAUUGAAUGAAGGAUAGACAAAUGUCUAACAAAAUGACUGGUUUAGUAAAAUGGUUCAACGCUGAGAAAGGUUUCGGUUUUAUUUCUCCAACCGACGGCAGCAAAGACGUUUUCGUACACUUCUCUGCGAUCCAGAACAACGGCUUUAAGACCCUCGAAGAAGGUCAGAAAGUUGAGUUCUCUAUCGAGAAUGGCCAGAAAGGCCCAGCAGCUGCUAACGUAACUGCUAUCUAAGCGACUUUCUCGCGACGGAAUGUUAAGGCUUAGCCUGAACCCUCGGUCACGAAACGCUAACAAAAACCCGCCUUGUGCGGGUUUUUGUGU